AGAACGAACGCUGGCGGCAUGCCUAACACAUGCAAGUCGAACGAGACCUUCGGGUCUAGUGGCGCACGGGUGCGUAACGCGUGGGAAUCUGCCCUUGGGUUCGGAAUAACAGUUGGAAACGACUGCUAAUACCGGAUGAUGACGUAAGUCCAAAGAUUUAUCGCCCAGGGAUGAGCCCGCGUAGGAUUAGCUAGUUGGUGAGGUAAAGGCUCACCAAGGCGACGAUCCUUAGCUGGUCUGAGAGGAUGAUCAGCCACACUGGGACUGAGACACGGCCCAGACUCCUACGGGAGGCAGCAGUGGGGAAUAUUGGGACAAGUGGGCGAAAGCCUGAUCCAGCAAUGCCGCGUGAGUGAUGAAGGCCGUUAGGUUGUAAAGCUCGUUUACCCGGGAAGAUAAGUGACUGUACCGGAGAAGUAAGCUCCGGCUAACUCCGUCGCCAGCAGGCCCGC
RNAcentral lists this ribosomal RNA (452 nucleotides) under uncultured soil bacterium. RNAcentral's name for it is "bacterial SSU rRNA". It matches the Rfam family "Bacterial small subunit ribosomal RNA", at positions 26 to 518 of the family's 1533-position model. The record is from RNAcentral.